UUGAAGAGUUUGAUCAUGGCUCAGAUUGAACGCUGGCGGCAGGCCUAACACAUGCAAGUCGAGCGGUAGCACAGAGAGCUUGCUCUCGGGUGACGAGCGGCGGACGGGUGAGUAAUGUCUGGGAAACUGCCUGAUGGAGGGGGAUAACUACUGGAAACGGUAGCUAAUACCGCAUAACGUCGCAAGACCAAAGAGGGGGACCUUCGGGCCUCUUGCCAUCAGAUGUGCCCAGAUGGGAUUAGCUAGUAGGUGGGGUAACGGCUCACCUAGGCGACGAUCCCUAGCUGGUCUGAGAGGAUGACCAGCCACACUGGAACUGAGACACGGUCCAGACUCCUACGGGAGGCAGCAGUGGGGAAUAUUGCACAAUGGGCGCAAGCCUGAUGCAGCCAUGCCGCGUGUAUGAAGAAGGCCUUCGGGUUGUAAAGUACUUUCAGCGGGGAGGAAGGUGUUGAGGUUAAUAACCUCAGCAAUUGACGUUACCCGCAGAAGAAGCACCGGCUAACUCCGUGCCAGCAGCCGCGGUAAUACGGAGGGUGCAAGCGUUAAUCGGAAUUACUGGGCGUAAAGCGCACGCAGGCGGUCUGUCAAGUCGGAUGUGAAAUCCCCGGGCUCAACCUGGGAACUGCAUUCGAAACUGGCAGGCUAGAGUCUUGUAGAGGGGGUAGAAUUCCAGGUGUAGCGGUGAAAUGCGUAGAGAUCUGGAGGAAUACCGGUGGCGAAGGCGGCCCCCUGGACAAAGACUGACGCUCAGGUGCGAAAGCGUGGGGAGCAAACAGGAUUAGAUACCCUGGUAGUCCACGCCGUAAACGAUGUCGACUUGGAGGUUGUGCCCUUGAGGCGUGGCUUCCGGAGCUAACGCGUUAAGUCGACCGCCUGGGGAGUACGGCCGCAAGGUUAAAACUCAAAUGAAUUGACGGGGGCCCGCACAAGCGGUGGAGCAUGUGGUUUAAUUCGAUGCAACGCGAAGAACCUUACCUACUCUUGACAUCCAGAGAACUUUCCAGAGAUGGAUUGGUGCCUUCGGGAACUCUGAGACAGGUGCUGCAUGGCUGUCGUCAGCUCGUGUUGUGAAAUGUUGGGUUAAGUCCCGCAACGAGCGCAACCCUUAUCCUUUGUUGCCAGCGGUUCGGCCGGGAACUCAAAGGAGACUGCCAGUGAUAAACUGGAGGAAGGUGGGGAUGACGUCAAGUCAUCAUGGCCCUUACGAGUAGGGCUACACACGUGCUACAAUGGCGCAUACAAAGAGAAGCGACCUCGCGAGAGCAAGCGGACCUCAUAAAGUGCGUCGUAGUCCGGAUUGGAGUCUGCAACUCGACUCCAUGAAGUCGGAAUCGCUAGUAAUCGUAGAUCAGAAUGCUACGGUGAAUACGUUCCCGGGCCUUGUACACACCGCCCGUCACACCAUGGGAGUGGGUUGCAAAAGAAGUAGGUAGCUUAACCUUCGGGAGGGCGCUUACCACUUUGUGAUUCAUGACUGGGGUGAAGUCGUAACAAGGUAACCGUAGGGGAACCUGCGGUUGGAUCACCUCCUU
This 1535-nucleotide ribosomal RNA is filed under the name Enterobacter asburiae. RNAcentral describes it as "bacterial SSU rRNA". It matches the Rfam family "Bacterial small subunit ribosomal RNA". The record is from RNAcentral. Lineage: Bacteria; Pseudomonadati; Pseudomonadota; Gammaproteobacteria; Enterobacterales; Enterobacteriaceae.